RNAcentral lists this ribosomal RNA (549 nucleotides) under uncultured Glomeromycotina. Its description in RNAcentral is "SSU rRNA". It matches the Rfam family "Eukaryotic small subunit ribosomal RNA", at positions 550 to 1109 of the family's 1831-position model. The record is from RNAcentral. Lineage: Eukaryota; Fungi; Glomeromycota.
UUGGAGGGCAAGUCUGSUKYYAGCAGCCGCGGUAAUUCCAGCUCCAAUAGCGUAUAUUAAAGUUGUUGCAGUUAAAAAGCUCGUAGUUGAAUUUCGAGAUCAGUACGCUGGUCGUGCCUUCGGUAUGCACUGGUGUCACUGGUUUCUCCCUUCUGAAGAACCGUCAUGUCAUUAAGUUGGUGUGGCGGGGAAUCAGGACUGUUACUUUGAAAAAAUUAGAGUGUUUAAAGCAGGCUCGCGCUUGAAUACAUUAGCAUGGAAUAAUGAAAUAGGACGUUUGACCCUAUUUUGUUGGUUUCUAGGAUCGACGUMMUGAUUAAUAGGGAUAGUUGGGGGCAUUAGUAUUCAAUUGUCAGAGGUGAAAUUCUUGGAUUUAUUGAAGACUAACUACUGCGAAAGCAUUUGCCAAGGAUGUUUUCAUUAAUCAAGAACGAAAGUUAGGGGAUCGAAGGCGAUCAGAUACCGUCGUAGUCUUAACCAUAAACUAUGCCGACUAGGGAUCGGAUGAUGUUAAUUUUUUAAUGACUCAUUCGGCGCCUUACGGGAAAC